UCCUGUUCUGACCGCCUCUUGAGAGGAAAGCAGCUCUGUAUCCCAAGCGCUCUGGGGUGGUCUUCAUUUGUCUUUGUGCCCGGUACUUUGUCAGUGAAUGUUUUUUAAGUUUUCAUCUCUAAUAACUAAAUUUUUCAUUUCUACUAACAUUUUGAGUUUUUAAAUUUAUUCUUUGGAACUUAAGUAUUUUAGUUCCCUUCCCAGAGAGAAUUUCUCUCUUGCCUCCUGAAGAUUCUAAUAGUCCCAAUGUCAGUCUGUUUCUCUAAGCUCCUUUUAUUCCAGU
This 283-nucleotide long non-coding RNA is filed under the name Bos taurus (domestic cattle). RNAcentral's name for it is "long non-coding RNA NONBTAT003001". Lineage: Eukaryota; Metazoa; Chordata; Mammalia; Artiodactyla; Bovidae. The record is from RNAcentral.